AAAAAUUGGGGCACCUGGGUGGCUCAGUCAAACGGCCGACUUCGGCUCAGGUCAUGAUCUCACAGCUCUUGAGGUCAAGCCCCGAGACAGGUUCUCUGCUUACAGCUCAGAGCCUGGAGCCUCUUCAGAUUCUGUGUCUUCCCCUCUCUCUGCCCCUC
Molecule: long non-coding RNA, 158 nt
Organism: Herpailurus yagouaroundi (jaguarundi)
Lineage: Eukaryota; Metazoa; Chordata; Mammalia; Carnivora; Felidae
Exons: 3
Source: RefSeq, a predicted model, not a curated record